RNAcentral lists this ribosomal RNA (863 nucleotides) under Enterobacter asburiae. Its description in RNAcentral is "bacterial SSU rRNA". It matches the Rfam family "Bacterial small subunit ribosomal RNA", at positions 48 to 903 of the family's 1533-position model. Lineage: Bacteria; Pseudomonadati; Pseudomonadota; Gammaproteobacteria; Enterobacterales; Enterobacteriaceae. The record is from RNAcentral.
CUAACCAUGCAGUCGAGCGGCAGCGGAAGUAGCUUGCUACUUUGCCGGCGAGCGGCGGACGGGUGAGUAAUGUCUGGGAAACUGCCUGAUGGAGGGGGAUAACUACUGGAAACGGUAUCUAAUACCGCAUAACGUCGCAAGACCAAAGAGGGGGACCUUCGGGCCUCUUGCCAUCAGAUGUGCCCAGAUGGGAUUAGCUAGUAGGUGGGGUAACGGCUCACCUAGGCGACGAUCCCUAGCUGGUCUGAGAGGAUGACCACCCACACUGGAACUGAGACACGGUCCAGACUCCUACGGGAGGCAGCAGUGGGGAAUAUUGCACAGUGGGCGCAAGCCUGAUGCACCCAUGCCGCGUGUAUGAAAAAGGCCUUCGGGUUGUAAAGUACUUUCAGCGGGGAGGAAGGCGAUAAGGUUAAUAACCUUGUCGAUUGACGUUACCCGCAAAAGAAGCACCGGCUAACUCCGUGCCAGCAGCCGCGGUAAUACGGAGGGUGCAAGCGUUAAUCGGAAUUACUGGGCGUAAAGCGCACGCAGGCGGUCUGUCAAGUCAGAUGUGAAAUCCCCGGGCUCAACCUGGGAACUGCAUUCGAAACUGGCAGGCUAGAGUCUUGUAGAGGGGGGUAGAAUUCCAGGUGUAGCGGUGAAAUGCGUAGAGAUCUGGAGGAAUACCGGUGGCGAAGGCGGCCCCCUGGACAAAGACUGACGCUCAUGUGCGAAAGCGUGGGGAGCAAACAGGAUUAUAUACCCUGAUAGUCCACGCCGUACACGAUGUCGACUUGGAGGUUGUGCCCUUGAGGCGUGUCUUCCGGAGCUAACGCGUUAAGUCGACCGCCUGGGGAGUACGGCCGCAAGGUUAAAACUCA